GGGCGAACGCUGGCGGCGUGCCUAAUACAUGCAAGUCGAGCGGACAGAAGGGAGCUUGCUCCCGGAUGUUAGCGGCGGACGGGUGAGUAACACGUGGGUAACCUGCCUGUAAGACUGGGAUAACUCCGGGAAACCGGAGCUAAUACCGGAUAGUUCCUUGACCGCAUGGUUCAAGGAUGAAAGACGGUUUCGGCUGUCACUUACAGAUGGACCCGCGGCGCAUUAGCUAGUUGGUGAGGUACGGCUCACCAAGGCGACGAUGCGUAGCCGACCUGAGAGGGUGAUCGGCCACACUGGGACUGAGACACGGCCCAGACUCCUACGGGAGGCAGCAGUAGGGAAUCUUCCGCAAUGGACGAAAGUCUGACGGAGCAACGCCGCGUGAGUGAUGAAGGUUUUCGGAUCGUAAAGCUCUGUUGUUAGGGAAGAACAAGUGCAAGAGUAACUGCUUGCACCUUGACGGUACCUAACCAGAAAGCCACGGCUAACUACGUGCCAGCAGCCGCGGUAAUACGUAGGUGGCAAGCGUUGUCCGGAAUUAUUGGGCGUAAAGGGCUCGCAGGCGGUUUCUUAAGUCUGAUGUGAAAGCCCCCGGCUCAACCGGGGAGGKUCAUUGGAAACUGGGAAACUUGAGUGCAGAAGAGGAGAGUGGAAUUCCACGUGUAGCGGUGAAAUGCGUAGAGAUGUGGAGGAACACCAGUGGCGAAGGCGACUCUCUGGUCUGUAACUGACGCUGAGGAGCGAAAGCGUGGGGAGCGAACAGGAUUAGAUACCCCUGGUAGUCCACGCCGUAAACGAUGAGUGCUAAGUGUUAGSRGGUUUCCGCCCCUUAGUGCUGCAGCUAACGCAUUAAGCACUCCGCCUGGGGAGUACGGUCGCAAGACUGAAACUCAAAGGAAUUGACSGGGGCCCGCACAAGCGGUGGAGCAUGUGGUUUAAUUCGAAGCAACGCGAAGAACCUUACCAGGUCUUGACAUCCUCUGACAACCCUAGAGAUAGGGCUUUCCCUUCGGGGACAGAGUGACAGGUGGUGCAUGGUUGUCGUCAGCUCGUGUCGUGAGAUGUUGGGUUAAGUCCCGCAACGAGCGCAACCCUUGAUCUUAGUUGCCAGCAUUCAGUUGGGCACUCUAAGGUGACUGCCGGUGACAAACCGGAGGAAGGUGGGGAUGACGUCAAAUCAUCAUGCCCCUUAUGACCUGGGCUACACACGUGCUACAAUGGACAGAACAAAGGGCUGCGAGACCGCAAGGUUUAGCCAAUCCCACAAAUCUGUUCUCAGUUCGGAUCGCAGUCUGCAACUCGACUGCGUGAAGCUGGAAUCGCUAGUAAUCGCGGAUCAGCAUGCCGCGGUGAAUACGUUUCCGGGCCUUGUACACACCGCCCGUCACACCACGAGAGUUUGCAACACCCGAAGUCGGUGAGGUAACCUUUAUGGAGCCAGCCGCCGAAGGUGGGGCAGAUGAUGGG
This 1467-nucleotide ribosomal RNA is filed under the name Bacillus pumilus. Its description in RNAcentral is "16S ribosomal RNA". It matches the Rfam family "Bacterial small subunit ribosomal RNA". Lineage: Bacteria; Bacillati; Bacillota; Bacilli; Caryophanales; Bacillaceae. The record is from RNAcentral.